RNAcentral lists this ribosomal RNA (1108 nucleotides) under Rothia amarae. RNAcentral describes it as "bacterial SSU rRNA". It matches the Rfam family "Bacterial small subunit ribosomal RNA", at positions 158 to 1275 of the family's 1533-position model. Lineage: Bacteria; Bacillati; Actinomycetota; Actinomycetes; Micrococcales; Micrococcaceae. The record is from RNAcentral.
UGGGUCUAAUACCGGAUAUGACAAGGAACCGCAUGGUUUUUUGUGGAAAGGGUUUGUACUGGUUUUAGAUGGGCUCACGGCCUAUCAGCUUGUUGGUGGGGUAAUGGCUCACCAAGGCGACGACGGGUAGCCGGCCUGAGAGGGUGACCGGCCACACUGGGACUGAGACACGGCCCAGACUCCUACGGGAGGCAGCAGUGGGGAAUAUUGCACAAUGGGCGCAAGCCUGAUGCAGCGACGCCGCGUGAGGGAUGACGGCCUUCGGGUUGUAAACCUCUUUCAGCAGGGAAGAAGCGAAAGUGACGGUACCUGCAGAAGAAGCGCCGGCUAACUACGUGCCAGCAGCCGCGGUAAUACGUAGGGCGCGAGCGUUGUCCGGAAUUAUUGGGCGUAAAGAGCUUGUAGGCGGUUUGUUGCGUCUGCUGUGAAAGACCGGGGCUUAACCCCGGUAUUGCAGUGGGUACGGGCAGACUAGAGUGCAGUAGGGGAGACUGGAAUUCCUGGUGUAGCGGUGAAAUGCGCAGAUAUCAGGAGGAACACCGAUGGCGAAGGCAGGUCUCUGGGCUGUAACUGACGCUGAGAAGCGAAAGCAUGGGGAGCGAACAGGAUUAGAUACCCUGGUAGUCCAUGCCGUAAACGUUGGGCACUAGGUGUGGGGGGACAUUCCACGUUUUCCGCGCCGUAGCUAACGCAUUAAGUGCCCCGCCUGGGGAGUACGGCCGCAAGGCUAAAACUCAAAGGAAUUGACGGGGGCCCGCACAAGCGGCGGAGCAUGCGGAUUAAUUCGAUGCAACGCGAAGAACCUUACCAAGGCUUGACAUAUACUGGAUCGCCUCAGAGAUGGGGUUUCCCUUCGGGGCUGGUAUACAGGUGGUGCAUGGUUGUCGUCAGCUCGUGUCGUGAGAUGUUGGGUUAAGUCCCGCAACGAGCGCAACCCUCGUUCUAUGUUGCCAGCACGUUAUGGUGGGGACUCAUAGGAGACUGCCGGGGUCAACUCGGAGGAAGGUGGGGAUGACGUCAAAUCAUCAUGCCCCUUAUGUCUUGGGCUUCACGCAUGCUACAAUGGCCGGUACAAAGGGUUGCGAUACUGUGAGGUUGAGCUAAUCCC